GACGAACGCUGGCGGCGUGCUUAACACAUGCAAGUCGAACGGAAAGGCCCUGCUUUUGUGGGGUGCUCGAGUGGCGAACGGGUGAGUAACACGUGAGUAACCUGCCCUUGACUUUGGGAUAACUUCAGGAAACUGCGGCUAAUACCGGAUAGGAGCUCCUGCUGCAUGGUGGGGGUUGGAAAGUUUCGGCGGUUGGGGAUGGACUCGCGGCUUAUCAGCUUGUUGGUGGGGUAGUGGCUUACCAAGGCUUUGACGGGUAGCCGGCCUGAGAGGGUGACCGGCCACAUUGGGACUGAGAUACGGCCCAGACUCCUACGGGAGGCAGAAGUGGGGAAUAUUGCACAAUGGGCGGAAGCCUGAUGCAGCAACGCCGCGUGCGGGAUGACGGCCUUCGGGUUGUAAACCGCUUUCGCAUGUGACGAAGCGUGAGUGACGGUAAUGGGUAAAGAAGCACCGGCUAACUACGUG
Molecule: ribosomal RNA, 468 nt
Filed under: uncultured bacterium
Lineage: Bacteria
Description: partial 16S ribosomal RNA
Rfam family: Bacterial small subunit ribosomal RNA
Source: RNAcentral